Rhododendron vialii is the source of this 904-nucleotide long non-coding RNA. RefSeq lists it as uncharacterized. The record is from RefSeq and is a predicted model, not a curated record. The transcript is spliced from 2 exons. Lineage: Eukaryota; Viridiplantae; Streptophyta; Magnoliopsida; Ericales; Ericaceae.
AGAGGUGACUCAACAAUAUUUAGAUAGGGACUAAGGAGGAGAAUUGGAGGGGUGGUUUGUCAUCUACUUGGGGAACACAUGUGAGCAAUAAGAGGGGGUUGUGGGGGAAGGCUGGGAAUUGUGGGCAUGGGAGAGAUCUUACAUUAGCAUCAAAGGUGUUCAUGCUAGUGAUUAAAUUAUGCAACAUAAUUUUUUGGUUUUGUUUUGUUUUUUUUUUGUUUUUUUGCGUUUGUUACUUGUGUAAAAUUCAAAUUUUUUUACUUUUUCGAUUCUUCUCGUUGAGAUGAACCCAUGUCACAUAAAAGUGUGACAUAAAACUAACAAAUACGAAAAAAAACUUUAAAUAGGGACAAAACAAAAAAAUUCUAGUGCGUAAGUAUAUCACUAGUGCGAGCGGGAUGCAAGCUUUGAAGGGAAAAAAGAAAAAAGAUAGGAUGGGGGAGGGGGAGGGGGAGAGAAUAGCUGGGUGAUAUUAGCUGGUCUUUGUUGUUGGAGAAAACGUAUGAACGGAGCAGUUGGAGGUGCUUCCACAAUGUGGGUUGUCUCGUUACAAAUUUACUCUUGAGAUAGAGAAAGUGUGGAAGGGAAGUUGAAGAGAGAAGGGUAUAUGAAUUGCCAUAUACGAAAAAUUAUGUAAAUGUUUAAGGGAGUGGGGAUGUUUUUUCUUAUAGUAAAUGUGUUUGUUGUUUAUAUUGAGUUGGUUGAGUAACACCUUCGAUUAUGUUAUUUUUGGGUCCUGAUGCUUGAGGAUUCAGGUUGUUACAAUGCGUAUCAUUUGUAAAUUAUGUAUACUUCUUUAUCUACAACACUUUUCGUGAUUUUGAAGUUUUAUUUUCACAAAAAUAGUUAAGAUGUAUCAAAUAAGAUCCAUAUUGGGAUGGAGAGAGUAUUUGUUUAAAAAGAA